RNAcentral lists this ribosomal RNA (468 nucleotides) under uncultured bacterium. Its description in RNAcentral is "partial 16S ribosomal RNA". It matches the Rfam family "Bacterial small subunit ribosomal RNA", at positions 28 to 507 of the family's 1533-position model. The record is from RNAcentral.
GACGAACGCUGGCGGCGUGCUUAACACAUGCAAGUCGAACGGAAAGGCCCUGCUUUUGUGGGGUGCUCGAGUGGCGAACGGGUGAGUAACACGUGAGUAACCUGCCCUUGACUGUGGGAUAACUUCAGGAAACUGGGGCGAAUACCGGAUAGGAGCUCCUGCUGCACGGGGGGGGUUGGAAAGUUUCGGCGGUUGGGGAUGGACUCGCGGCUUAUCAGCUUGUUGGUGGGGUAGUGGCUUACCAAGGCUUUGACGGGUAGCCGGCCUGAGAGGGUGACCGGCCACAUUGGGACUGAGAUACGGCCCAGACUCCUACGGGAGGCAGCAGUGGGGAAUUUUGCACAAUGGGCGGAAGCCUGAUGCAGCAACGCCGCGUGCGGGAUGACGGCCUUCGGGUUGUAAACCGCUUUCGCCUGUGACGAAGCGUGAGUGACGGUAAUGGGUAAAGAAGCACCGGCUAACUACGUG